CUACGGGGGGCACCAGUGAGGAAUAUUGCACAAUGGGGGGAACCCUGAUGCAGCAACGCCGCGUGGAGGAUGACGCAUUUCGGUGUGUAAACUCCUUUUAUAUGUCAAGAAAAUGACGGUAGCAUACGAAUAAGCACCGGCUAACUCCGUGCCAGCAGCCGCGGUAAUACGGGAGGGUGCAAGCGUUACUCGGAAUCACUGGGCGUAAAGGACGCGUAGGCGGGUUGGAAAGUCAGGUGUGAAAUCCUACAGCUUAACUGUAGAACUGCACUUGAAACUUCUAAUCUAGAGUAUGGGAGGGGGAGAUGGAAUUAGUGGUGUAGGGGUAAAAUCCGUAGAUAUCACUAGGAAUACCUAAAGCGAAGGCGAUCUCCUGGAACAUUACUGACGCUAAGGCGUGAAAGCGUGGGGAGCAAACAGGAUUAGAUACCCUUGUAGUC
This 440-nucleotide ribosomal RNA is filed under the name uncultured bacterium. Its description in RNAcentral is "partial 16S ribosomal RNA". It matches the Rfam family "Bacterial small subunit ribosomal RNA", at positions 339 to 795 of the family's 1533-position model. The record is from RNAcentral.